CUGGAAGAAAAAAUCUGGCCCAGAGUUCCAUGAACAAUUCAUUCUUCAACCAAAGACUGGCUCUUUUCUCUGGGAUGGCCAUCAUCUUCAGCCAAGGGUGUGGCAUAGGUGAGAUGAGAUGGGAAAUGGCACUGUCCAGCUGGUUGGACGGGCCUGGUCCAUGGGGAGUGACAGAUGUCCGAGCCAGAGACCCAACAUCUGAAAGAAAGUCUGUGGCUGCGAAGAUCAAUGCAUCUGAACAUUAUUCAGCGGUACCACCACCUCUUUGAACCCUGUGCAAAGCACCCAUCAAGACUGAAAAAUAUCAUGAAGAGAAAUAGUGAUUCACUUGGAAAAAAAAUUCAGUCUGCCCCUUCUCAAGACACGUGCUACUGUCCAAGAGCUACUCUACUGUGGUCCAUGGAUUAUUUUUACUUAUCAAAAUUUUGAAC
This 431-nucleotide long non-coding RNA is filed under the name Homo sapiens (human). Its description in RNAcentral is "HSALNT0076364". The record is from RNAcentral. Lineage: Eukaryota; Metazoa; Chordata; Mammalia; Primates; Hominidae.